Molecule: ribosomal RNA, 253 nt
Filed under: uncultured bacterium
Lineage: Bacteria
Description: partial 16S ribosomal RNA
Rfam family: Bacterial small subunit ribosomal RNA
Source: RNAcentral
UACGGAGGGUGCAAGCAUUAAUCGGAUUUAUUGGGCGUAAAGGGCGCGUAGGCGGAGAUAAUAGUCAGAUGUGAAAUCCUGGGGCUCAACCUCAGAACUGCAUUUGAAACUGUAUCUCUAGAGGGUAGGCGGAGAAAACGGAAUUCCACAAGUAGCGGUGAAAUGCGUAGAUAUGUGGAAGAACACCGGUGGCGAAGGCGGUUUUCUAGCUUACUCCUGACGCUGAGGCGCGAAAGCAAGGGGAUCAAACAGG